ACUACGGGAGGCAGCAGUGGGGAAUCUUGCGCAAUGGGCGAAAGCCUGACGCAGCGACGCCGCGUGAGGGAUGAAGGUCUUCGGAUCGUAAACCUCUGUCAGCAGGGAAGAACGGUCACUGUACUAAUCAGCAGUGAAUUGACGGGACCUGCACAGGAAGCACCGGCUAACUCCGUACCAGGAGCCGCGGUAAUACGGGGGGUGCGGGCGUUAAUCGGAAUUAAUGGGCGUUAAGCGCUCGUAGGCGGUAUGUCAAGUCAAGGGGGAAAUGCCCGCGGUAAACGUGGGAAAUGCCUUGGAAACUGGCAAACUGGAGUGUGGGAGAGGAGAGUGGAAUUCCAGGUGUAGGAGUGAAAUGCGUAGAUAUCUGGAGGAACAGCAGUGGCGAAGGCGACUAUCUGGCACAUAACUGACGCUGAGGAGCGAAAGCGUGGGUAGCAAACAGGAUUAGAUACCCCUGUAGUC
Molecule: ribosomal RNA, 465 nt
Filed under: uncultured bacterium
Lineage: Bacteria
Description: partial 16S ribosomal RNA
Rfam family: Bacterial small subunit ribosomal RNA
Source: RNAcentral